RNAcentral lists this ribosomal RNA (491 nucleotides) under uncultured bacterium. RNAcentral's name for it is "partial 16S ribosomal RNA". It matches the Rfam family "Bacterial small subunit ribosomal RNA", at positions 29 to 506 of the family's 1533-position model. The record is from RNAcentral.
AGUGAACGCUGGCGGUAGGCCUAACACAUGCAAGUCGAACGGCAGCACAGUAAGAGCUUGCUCUUACGGGUGGCGAGUGGCGGACGGGUGAGGAAUACAUCGGAAUCUACUUUUUCGUGGGGGAUAACGUAGGGAAACUUACGCUAAUACCGCAUACGACCUACGGGUGAAAGUAGGGGAUCUUCGGACCUUGCGCGAUUGAAUGAGCCGAUGUUGGAUUAGCUAGUUGGCGGGGUAAAGGCCCACCAAGGCGACGAUCCGUAGCGGGUCUGAGAGGAUGAUCAGCAACACUGGAACUGAGAACCGGUCCAGAUUCCUCGGGGGGGCAGCAGUGGGAAAUAUUGGAAAUGGGGCGCAAGCCUGCUCCAGCCAUCCCGCGUGGGUGAAGAAGGCCUUCGGGUUGUAAAGCCCUUUUGUUGGGAAAGAAAAGCAGCAGGUUAAUACCCCGCUGUUCUGACGGUACCCAAAGAAUAAGCACCGGCUAACUUCGU